GUAGUCUGCAACCCGACUACAUGAAGCUGGAAUCGCUAGUAAUCGCGGAUCAGAAUGCCGCGGUGAAUACGUUCCCGGGUCUUGUACACACCGCCCGUCACACCAUGGGAGGUCGGAAAUGCCCGAAGUCUGUGACCCAACCUACGGGAGGGAGCAGCCGAAGGCAGGUCGGAUGACUGGGGGUGAAGUCGUAACAAGGUAUC
This 203-nucleotide ribosomal RNA is filed under the name uncultured bacterium. Its description in RNAcentral is "partial 16S ribosomal RNA". It matches the Rfam family "Bacterial small subunit ribosomal RNA", at positions 1300 to 1500 of the family's 1533-position model. The record is from RNAcentral.